Long non-coding RNA from Mauremys reevesii (Reeves's turtle), 1060 nucleotides. RefSeq lists it as uncharacterized. The transcript is spliced from 5 exons. NCBI's taxonomy places the organism in Eukaryota, Metazoa, Chordata, Testudines, Geoemydidae. The record is from RefSeq and is a predicted model, not a curated record.
CUGAUCUUCUGAGUCCCAAUCCAUAUCUUAACCACAAGACCUUUCUUUCUCUCCGUAUACAUAAGAGGACUAUUGACUAUGUAACAACUACAACUAUGGUUACACCUGUGAAAUGCCCACUAGGCAGUAUGCAAUCAGCCUGGAUGGGCCAUUAGGAAAGACAAUGGUUCUUUGGAGAUGCUGAUCUCUCAUCUUCCUGAGUUCCUUCCUGUGGAUGUUACAAAUAAACCUUGUCUCAGGAUUGCUUUAACCCUGCAAGAUCAUGUGAUGAUGUCACUUGGUAUGGAGUACCACGUUGGACACUGCUGGUAUUUUUCCACUGGAAAAAAAGGAUUCCAGCCUUAUGUAAAUUCUAUUUAAGGCUGGGAACUGAGUUAAUCUUGGCUCUUCUCCACUACCUCCCCGCCCAAGAAGGAAGACUGUUGAAAACACCUAAAGAAACAAAGGAUUUAAGCUGGGGAAAGGCAAGAGUUGAGUCCAGGCUGAGGCAAGGGUCUAGCCUGUGAAGAGAAAUAACAGGAAUGCUGAGCUGCAGAAACUCUGCAGCCUGCCUAAAACAGCAUUUAUGUCUCUCCCUCUGUUAAAUGAAGACAGCCACUUCCUAUUUCACAUGGGUGUUUGAGGUUUAGUUGUUUGUGAGUGCUUUGAACAUCUUGCACAUAAAGUGCUAUGGGUCAAAUUCGACCAUUGACUACCCAAGACUCUGACUGACUUGGAAACUGCUUACAGAUGUCCAAAGAUAGUAUGUGGCCCUAAGAGAGACUUGGUCUGGAAGGGGGAAAAAAAAAAGUAAAGAGGAAAAAAAACCUGUGCCUGACCAUGACAGAUGGGAGAAAGAAAGAAGUCCCUGUUUUAGCCACCUGCUAUUUGAUCAGAAAUGGACAAUUCUGACAAAAGGCCACAAAGGAUCAAUACCCAAAGGCAGCAAGUGCACAGGCGAUCCUAGGCAGAUGUUACCUACUUCUAAGAUACCUAUGGGUGUGGUUGAUUUAUUUGCCUUUUAACACAAUUUGGCAACAUUUGUGCAGUUUAUGUCAGCAUUGAAUUGGACUGAAAAAUA